UACGGGGGGGGCAAGCGUUGUUCGGAAUUACUGGGCGUAAAGGGCUCGUAGGCGGCCAACUAAGUCGGACGUGAAAUCCCUCAGCUUAACUGGGGAACUGCGUCCGAUACUGGAUGGCUUGGAUUCGGGAGAGGGAUGCGGAAUUCCAGGUGUAGCGGUGAAAUGCGUAGAUAUCUGGAGGAACACCGGUGGCGAAGGCGACUCUUUGGCCUGUAACUGACGCUGAGGAGCGAAAGCGUGGGGAGCGAACAGG
This 253-nucleotide ribosomal RNA is filed under the name uncultured bacterium. RNAcentral describes it as "partial 16S ribosomal RNA". It matches the Rfam family "Bacterial small subunit ribosomal RNA", at positions 524 to 776 of the family's 1533-position model. The record is from RNAcentral.